RNAcentral lists this ribosomal RNA (433 nucleotides) under uncultured bacterium. RNAcentral describes it as "partial 16S ribosomal RNA". It matches the Rfam family "Bacterial small subunit ribosomal RNA", at positions 29 to 507 of the family's 1533-position model. The record is from RNAcentral.
AACGAACGCUGGCGGCAUGCCUAACACAUGCAAGUCGAACGAGACCUUCGGGUCUAGUUGCGCACGGGUGCGUAACGCCGGGUAACCUGCCCUUAGGUUCGGUAUAACUCCCCGUGAGGGGUGCUAAUACCGGUUGAUCUCUUCGGGCCAAGGAUUUCUCGCCUUUGGGUGGGGCCGCGUUGGAUUCGCUAGUUGGUAGGGUAAAAGCCUCCCAAGGCGACGAUCCAUAGCUGGUCGGAGAGGAUGAUCAUCCACACUGGGACUGAGACACGGCCCAGACUCCGACGGGGAGCAGCAGAGGGGAAUAUUGGAGAAUGGGGGAAAGCGUGAUACAGCAACGCCGCGUGAGUGAUGAAGGCCGUAGGGUUGUAAAGCUCUUUUACCCGGGAUGAUAAUGACAGUACCGGGAGAAGAAGCACCGGCUAACUACGUG